AGCAGCCGCGGUAAUUCCAGCUCCAAUAGCGUAUAUUAAAGUUGUUGCAGUUAAAAAGCUCGUAGUUGAAUUUCGGGAUCAAUAUGCCGGUCAUGCCUUGGUAUGCACUGGUAUCUUUGAUUUCUCCCUUCUGACGAACUUUGAUGUCAUUAAUUUGGUGUCAUAGGGAAUCAGGACUGUUACUUUGAAAAAUUAGAGUGUUUAAAGCAAGCUCACGCUUGAAUACAUUAGCAUGGAAUAAUGAAAUAGGACGUUUGAUUCUAUUUUGUUGGUUUCUAGGAUCGACGUAAUGAUUAAUAGGGAUAGUUGGGGGCAUUAGUAUUCAAUUGUCAGAGGUGAAAAUUCUUGGAUUUAUUGAAGACUAACUACUGCGAAAGCAUUUGCCAAGGAUGUUUUCAUUAAUCAAGAACGAAAGUUAGGGGAUCGAAGACGAUCAGAUACCGUCGUAGUCUUAACCAUAAAUUAU
Molecule: ribosomal RNA, 466 nt
Filed under: uncultured Glomus
Lineage: Eukaryota; Fungi; Glomeromycota; Glomeromycetes; Glomerales; Glomeraceae
Description: SSU rRNA
Rfam family: Eukaryotic small subunit ribosomal RNA
Source: RNAcentral